Molecule: long non-coding RNA, 23309 nt
Filed under: Citrus maxima (pomelo)
Lineage: Eukaryota; Viridiplantae; Streptophyta; Magnoliopsida; Sapindales; Rutaceae
Description: long non-coding RNA (CMAX_LNC001333)
Source: RNAcentral
AAGCAGAGUUAAAUAAUUACAAAAUUACAUUCUUGAUUGCACAGAAAUGAUAUAUAGCAAAACAAGCAUAAGGAAAUAACAAUAUAAUUUUACAUUGUUCAGCUUUUGGUCUACGUCACAGUCAAAGACGGGAAGAGAAUUUUACUAAGAAAUAAGAGUGUACUAAUGUUAAAGAAAAACAUUCACUAAUCGCUGAUAUAUGCUUAAUUUCUCACCCACUAAGAACGUUCAAUUCACUCAAAUGAAACUUUCACAGGAAGGUCUCAUUUUUAAGGCAUUAGCUUCACUUCACAUGCUCAGCAAUUCAAAUUUGAGGAUGAUAUUUCUCAAAAUUGAGGGCUCUAUUUGGCUUGCCAACAAUCUUCCUCACCACUAUCAUCCUUGCUAUACCGGUUGCACUGAACAAUCUUCAUUCUGACAUUUGCACUAUUAACCUGAGUGCACAAGAAUCCGAAACAACUGUUAGAAAUUUUAAUCUUUAUAUAUAGCCAAAAUGGUGAAUAAGAUGAUGUACUUGAUAACAAAAACCUGAUUUAAUAAAUAAUUAAGCGGCCGAUAACAAGCACAGAAUCUCAUCGUGUGGGGAAAGCCUUGACAACAGAAGAUGGUGCUUUCAUUCAAGCAAUGAUAACUUUCCAAUUUCAUAAGGUAGCUUAAUGCCCUUUUAAGAAUAUCUGCACCAGCCUGACAAUUAUUGAUGGAAAUUCAAAUUCAGAAUCAUGUUCGUAUGAGAGAUGAAAUGUAAUGAGCGACUUGGCCACCAUAUAUGCAUUUAUCAUCUUCAAUUUGCUCAUCUUUGUCUAGAGUAUUGCUUCUGCGUUAACUUAAUUAGCGUGCAAGCCACCUGAAAAUGGUUUUAAAUAAUGAGAGAGAGUCUGAAUUCGAAUGAAUUAAUCAAAUAUGAUGACAGAAAACAAAAAAGUAAAAUAACCACAAGAAGUAGAAAUAUACUUUUGUUAGAUUUAGAGCAUAAUUCUUCUGUCAAGUUCCUUUCCAUUAGCCUUGUUUCUGUGUGUGCUCAAACGCAAUUCCUCAACACUCGAGAUAGUUUCUGCAGACCUGAAAAACUGGUUGUGGCCCUAAGGAACUUGAAAAUUAGAAAAGAUUCAGAAUGAGUGACUAAAUAUUUUAAUCAAAACUAAUUAAACAUACACGCCCUGAAAAUCUGAAACUGAAUUACUCAAAUGAAUAUGCCUCUUCACAGCAAUUGGUUGAAACUUUACUGCAAAGACUUUUUGAAACCCUUGAAGAUGAUACUCUACCUGAUAACACAAGGAAACACAAUCAAUAUAAGAAGAUAAUUUUACAAACAAAUGAAAGUUUGCAAUUAUUGGGAGAGCUCUACUCAAAUUUAAUGAGAUAUCUCUCAGAAGGGAGAGCUCUAAUAAUAUAUAAAGCCAAAAAUCUAACACUCAUCAAAUUGGCUUGUAAACAAUUAAUCUUCCUUACCAUUAUCCAUGCCAGGCGUGGUGAUCAAUCUUCAUUCUGACAUUUGCCUUAAUAAGCUGCUCAGUAUCCUUAACCUGAUAACUCACUCAAACAAAAACAAUUUUACUAAAGUUCAUUUUUUCAAGGCAAAACAGUAAAGAAGAUGAUAAAUGCUGAUACAAAAAAUUGACCUGAGUUGUCCUGUUGUCAAGAAUCACAGCGCCUCAUGUGGGCAAGAUCAUCGCAAUACAAGAUGCCGAAUUCAAGCAACAUUAAAUCACCUGUAAUUUAAUUAAGACAAUAACUUUCCUCAACUAUUACCCUUCUCAAUUUCAAUGUAUUAUUGGCAACUAAAUUCAUAGGGGACGUAGCAAAUUAAAUGCCCUUUUAACAAUAUCUUCCCCACCUAACAAUUAUUUGGAAAAUCUAAAUGACAAUCAUGCAUUGAUGGCAUAAAAAAUUGGCCACAAAGCUGCCUAGAAAACGGCUUUAAAUUCUUAAUGAGACAACGUAUUCGAACAAAUAUGGUGAAUGAAGAGACAAAGGCAUAACACCUCAAGAAGUAAAGCUUUGUUUCUGUAUGUGCUCAAACCAAUGGAAACCCAUGGAAAUGAAUUUCUACGAAUUAGACAUGUCAGCCAAAACAGGUACUCUGUACAAGCAAAGUAAAAGAGAGUUACAAAAAUUUUUAAGAUAAUUAAACUUUUAGUCACCAUAUAAUUAAUAGAAAACUUUGUACACAAUGAUUUAUAUGAGAUUAAGAUUGUAUACCUAAGUUUUAAUUGCAAACUAAAUAUACACAACAUGAUAUUAGCAUUAGAAGACUGAACCAAAACGUACCGAAUUGAAUGUACCUUUUAACGGCCAUUGUACAUGCAUUGAAAGUUUACCGCAAAAUCUGUUUCAAACGUGAUGCAUCUUAGAGAUGCAAGAUGAGAAAUUGUUAGUACAACUAGCAUUGAAACACGUGUGAAAACUGUUAAUGGACCUAAAUAACUUGAAAAUCAGAAAAGAUUAGGAAUGAGUGACUAAGCCUGCUAAUCGCAACUAAACAUACAAACCUUGAAAAUCCAAAAUUGUACUCGAUGAAUGUGCAAUUGCUCGAGCAGGUAAAUUUACUGCAAAGGCUCUUACAAACCCUCAAAGAUGAUACUCUACAUACCAUGGUAACCUGAAUAACAAAAAGAAACACAGUGAAUAUUAAAGGGCAUUCUGACAAUGCAAAUUUGUGCAAAUUAACAACUGCGGUUACCUGCAUAAUAGUGUUAAUACUGAAUUCCUUCCUCCAUGGAAGCAUAUGAUCAGCCCACAUGUGCUUUGCUCUGUAGCUUUUGAGUACCUGAAAUUGUUAUUACAACCAACGGUGAAAAUUGGGUGAAAAAAUGGUAAUAUUAGCAUAAUUGAAUUUGCUUAUAGAGGAUAAACCGAUCAAAGAAAACAACAAGAUAGAAAUGAUUAUCUUAGUACCUUAAUAUCAUGCAAUAAAAAUCAUCAUGCCUUCCAGGCAGCUAUCCAUCCUCAAUUGAAACAGAGCAGACCUGGCCAUCACUUCUUCAAAGUCCAGCAACUGAACGUUGCACACAACACCACAGUGGAAGUAGUUCCAUCACCAGCCUAAUCCUUGAUUACCCCAAUGUUCUCCAUAGGGUCUUCAAAGUCAACCUAAAAAUAAAAUGAAAAUCCAAUGCAUUAUUAUUAGGGAUCUAGUGCUUGAGUUUGCUUUGACAUCAUGGUAUUAGCAAAUUCUGAUAUAGCCAAAAUGGUGAAUAAGAUGAUGUACUUGAUAAAAAAAACCUGAUUUAACAAAUAAUUAAGAAGCAGGUAACAAUCAGAUAAUCUCAUCAUGUGGGGAAUGCCUUGGCAACAGAAGAUGGUGCUUUCAUUCAAGCAAUAGCAACUUUCCAAUUUCAUAAGGUAGUUUAAUGGCCCUUUUAAGAACAUCUGUACCAGCCUAACAAUUAUUCAUGGAAAUUAAAAUUCAGAAUCAUAUUAGAUUGAGAGAUGAAAUAUAAUAAGCAAUAUGCAUUUAUCACCUUCAAUUUGCUCAUCUUUGUCUAGAGUAUUGCUUCUGCAUUAACUUAAUUAGCUUGCAAGCCACCUACAAAUGGUUUUAAAUAAUGUGUGAGAGUGUGAAUUCGAACGAAUUAAUCAAAUAUGCUGACAGGAGAAACAAAAGUAAAUAACCACAAGAAGUAGAAAUAUACUUUUGUUAUAUUCAGAGCAUCUUCUUGCGGCAAGUUCUUUUCCUUUAGCUCUGUUUCUGUUUGUGCUCAAACGCAAUGGCUCAAGGGUCAAGAUAAUUUUAUGACCAUCAAUCUUUUUGCAGCCACAUGCAGACUUGAAAAACUGGUCGUGGCCCUAAGGAACUUGAAAAUUAGAAAAGAUUCAGAAUGAGUGACUAAAUAUUAUAAUCGAAACUAAUUAAACAUACACGCCUAGAAAAUCUGAAACUGAACUUCUCAAAUGUAUAUGCCUCUUCGCAGCAAUUGCUUGUGGUGGAAACUUUACUGCAAGGACUUUCUCAAACCCUUGAAGAUCACACUCUACCUGAUAACAAAGAAACAUAGUCAAUAUACGAAGAUGAUUUUACUAACAAGUGAGUGCUUACACAUAUUGGAAGGAUAAUGAUUACUCAUAAUAUCUCACUCAAGUGAGUACGAGCUCCCAGAAUUCACUACUGUGAAACUCUUACAACAAAAUUCCGUUCAAAGAUUCUCUACUCAAAUUUGAUGAUGAUGUCCCUCGAAAGGAGGCAAAAAAUCUAACACUGAUCAAAUUGGCUUGUGAACAAUUAAUCUUCCUGGCGAUCAUGCAUACCAGGUGUGGUGAGCAAUCUUCAUUCUGACAUUUGCCUUAAUAAGUGGCUUAGUAUCCUUAACCUGAUAACUUACACAAACAAAAACAACUUGAUUAAAGUUUAAUAUUUAGAGGCAAAACAGUAAAGAAGAUGAUAUAUAUUGAUACUAAAAUUUGACCUGUGUUAUCCUGACGUCAAGAAUCACAGCAUCUCAUGUGGGCAGAAUCUUCGCAGUACAAGAUGCUUGCAAAAUUGAAGCAGCAUCUUAUCACCUGUAAUUUAAUUAAGACAAUAACUUUCCCCAACCAUUUCAAUGCAUUAUUGGCAACUAACUUCAAAAGAUGCUAAUUAAAUAGCCUUUGAACAAUAUAUUCUAAUUCUUCUCCAAUCUAACAAUUAUUUGGAAAAUCUAAAUGACAAUCAUGCAUCGACGGCAUCAAAAUUUGGCUACAAAGCAGCCUGGAAAAGGCUUUACUCUCUGAAUGAGAGCAUGAAUUCGAAACAAAUAUCAUGAAUGAAGAAACAAAGGCAUAAUACCACAAAAAGUAAAACUUUUUCCCAGGGCUCUCUGUUUCUGUUUGAACUAAAACCAAUGGAAACCGAUGGAAAUGAAUUUCUAGGAAUUAGACAUAUCAGCCAAAACAGGUACUCUGUACAAGCAAAGUAAAAUAGGGUUACAAAAAAUUUUAAGAUUGAUAUGAUAAUUAAAAUUUCAGUCACCAUAUAAUUAAUAGAAAACUUUGGACACAAUGAUUUAUUGCAUAUUAAGAUUGCUAUAUAAAAUAUAAUAUUAGCAUUAGGAGACCGCACCAAAGCAUACCGAAUUGAAUGUGCCUUUUCACAGCCAUUUUACAAGCUUUGAAGCUUCACCACAAAUGCUUUUUCUAACCCGUGAACAUGGUGCACCCGAGAGAUGCAAGCUAUGAAAUUGUUACUACAGCAAGCGUUGGAACAUUUGUUAAAAAAGGAAGUUUAUGAAAAUACGCCUUUGGAUACCAGUCUUCAGGAAUCAAUUCAUCCGUAAUAACAAUUUUCAAGAAGUAUCAACUGCUUUAAGCUCAUCGACAUCACAAAGAUCUUCAACUAAAAUAGAGCAGAUCCGGCCAUCACUAUCCCUUCUACUGCUCUUUUCCUUUAGAGAAUGAUUGAAUUACAGAAUGCGUGUAAGGCAUUCUUAUUCAAGGUCCAAUGAUCAAACCUUGCACUAUAACAACAGAGGUAGUAGUUUCUUCGCCAGCCUAAUCCUUGGUCUCAGGAAUGUCCUCAACAGAGUACUCAAAAUCAACCUAAAAAUUAAGAAUGAGUUGGAAAACUGUUUAUGGCCCUAAAGAACUUGAAAAUCAGAAAAGAUUAAGAAUGAGUGACUAAACAUUUUAAUCGCAACUAAACAUCCAAACCUUGAAAAUCUAACUUUGAAGUACUCUUGAAUGAAUGAGCAAUUGCACGAGCUGGUGACAACUAAGGUUACUGUGAAGUCUCUUACAAAUCCUUAAAGAUGAUACUUUACAUACCACAAUAACCUGAUAACACAUAGGAACACAAUAAACAUUAAAGUGUAUUCUGACAAUGCAAAUUUGUGGAAAUCAUCAGCUGUGGUUACCUGGACAAUAUUGCCAACACCAAACUCCUUCCUCAAUUGAAACAUAUGAUCAGCCCACAAAUGCUUUGCUUUGUAGCUUUUGAGAGCCUGAAAUUGUUAUCACAACCAACAGUGAAAAUUGGGUGAAAAAAUUGAUAAUAUUAGCAUAAUUCCAUAUGUUUAUAUAGGAUAAACCGAUCAAAGAAUGAAAAAAGAUAGAAACAGAGCAGACCCAACCAUCACUUUCUUCUUCAAAGUCGCACCAUAACCACAGUGGUAGUCGUUCCACUGCCAGCCUAAUCCUUGGUCAACCCAAUGUUCACCAUGAAGUAUUCAAAGUCAACCUAAAAAUAAAUAAAAAUGCAAUGCAGGUGGAAAUGAAAAUUCUAUAAAUUAAAUAAAAUAAAAAUGCAAUGCUUGAGCUUGAGCUUGCUUUAGCAUCAUCGUAAUAGUACAUUUUGAUAUAUCUUUACUUCUCUGUUCUUGUUUAUUCACAACAAGAUAUCAAUAGAAGGAGAUGGAAAUGAAAUUCUAUAAAAUAAAUCAAGUGAAUUACCAGUAGAACAUUUUAGCAAUCCUUUGGGUAAACUUUUCAUUUUCAUAGUCUUGCUCUCCUGCCUGCAUCAUUAAAACCAAAUUAGCUUGUACCAGGCAAUUGCUAGUGUGGUUCUGACAUUUCCUCGAAUCCCUGGUGAACAUAAUUAAACUCGUAUGAAAUAAAACAAAGUGGGCUAAUGUAGUAAAAACAAUUCCACAAUUACUUUAAAGAAUUAAUGUCACAUAAAUUAUAUAUAAAAAAAAACGAUUAUCAUUAUAUAAGAUAAAAUUGAUAAUUUAGUUUUCAACAUUACUCCAAACGUAUCACAGAGAUUUUGUCUCUCAGCAAGUUACACAUAACAAAUUUUCGUACAUUAAAAAAUAAAUUACAUUGCACGAAAUUUUACAAAAGAGCACAUAUUUUGUUAUUUUUUAUUAUUUAAUCCUUAGAAAACAAGUUUAACAGAUUUGAUAACUAGGAAGUUUUACGUAUUUAUACCAUGAUUGAUUCUAUAUAGAAUUUUAAUUCAAAAUAUAAUUAUUUUAAUCAAUUUCAUUGCAAGCAACAACGAAGUAAAUCAGAGGAGGAGGAGAAAUUACCGGCGAGUGAUAAAUUACGGCUACCACUUGAUGUGGGGAAUGUGAGAUAUCUUAUACCAGUCUUCUCCUUCCCCCACUCUAUAACGGUUUUCCAGAAGAGGACAUUUCCAAAUUGUCAAAUCCUGCAGUGCCGUCGUUCGAAGGAGGUAAUCCGGCAGCACCUUUAAUUUGGGGCAAUGCUCAAUUUCCAAGGAAGAAAGACGUGGUAUGUCUGUUGUCCUGUGAUCUUCUAGAAUGGGCAGUUCUUCUAGAAGAUCACAAGAAAAAAUACUCAAUUUCUGCAGUGCCGUCGUUUGAAAAAGGUAAUCCGGCAGCGCCUUUAAUUUGGUGCAAUACCAAAUCGUCAAGGAAGAAAGACGUGGCAUGAUGGAGAUGUUUUCCUUCCUCGUAAUCCUGUAAUUCCACUCUUCCAAUUCUUCCAAGCCCCAAAUUUCGAGAGAUUUCAAUUUGGGGAAGGCAAUAACUGAUGAUGACGAUGAAGAUGAAGAUGGGUCGUCCUCACUGCUUUCUUCUAUUCCCAAAAACUCAUUACCCACUCUUUUUACACUUUUCAAGUUGCGUAGUUCGAGUUUUUCCAGAGGCAAUUUUCCCAAAGGAGGCAAAUGCUCACAAUUAACGCAGGAGAGAAGUUUUAAAUUCCUUAGAUUGGUUAGUGAAGUCAACCAUUUGGGAAAAAUGUUGCCUCCGUAGGAUUCAAUCCAUAAUUCCUCUACAUUCAAAGGCGGUUGUAAGGCUUCAAGAAGUUGUUUAUCUUUCUCAAUAUUCAUCCUCCUCCCUUCUUCGCCUUCCCCAUCUACGACUCCACCAAACACAAGACGCAAACGAAGGAGGUUUUUCUUAUUGUAAAGUUGUAACCUCUCAGCCUCAUCUAAAUGUGACACAUUACCCAGCCCUUCUAUUCCACAUUCUCGAAGGAGUUGAAGAUUUUUCAGAGAUUCAAGCCUACACGUAUUGCUACCAUCAACACCUCCACCCACCACAAACUUGUCUAAUGUUCGAAGACUGGUUAAUUUGGAAAUCCCUAUUGGCAUGUAUUUCAACGAAUCAGUUUCACCAUUCAGUAAACUCCUCAUGUUCUUUAACUUCCCAAUCCCCGCUGGCAAUUCCCUAAGAUUUUCGCAACCCCUAAUAUCUAGCUUUUGUAAAUUAUAUAAUUCACACAAAGUCUCAGGCAGUCUCUCUAUACAUAAUUUAGACAAAUUAAGAUAUUUUAAAUGUAUCGAUUUUCCAACAUUUUCUGGAAUUUCUCUAAUCAAAUUUGAGUAGGACGAUUGGCUUAUAACUAAUGCCCUUAAACACGCCAAUUUACUAAAUAACUCCAGAAGGACGCUACUAUUAAGAGACGGAUUGGAAGGACUUUCAUCAUUAAUUAGGAUGGUACGCAAUCUAUUAAGUCCGUGAAUGGAUAUAGGAAAUGAAGCGCCUCCUUCAAACUUUAACCCUAAGUGACGGACUUUGUCGCCAAAAGAGUUUAUGACUGAUUCUUUGGUACCAUUAAUUUCUAGCCACAAACAUUCUUUUCUACUUAUAAAUUGGGCAAAAUCAUGUACUAUGUCAUGCAUCUUGCAACUCAGAAUAUCAUCAUCGUCAUAAUCUUUUUCAAACUCUUGAAAGAAAGAGCGUGUUGCUAAGAUGUUGAAAUACUCUUCUCCAAUCAUCUCCAUUUCUUCGUCUUCUUCUGCGUUAAAGUAACCUUGAGCCAUCCACAAACUAAUCAAUUCUUCUUUAUUCAUACUGUAGUCUUUUGGAAAGACAGCACAAUAUGAGAAACACCGUUUUACCAUCGAAUUGGAGGGCAAAUCGUUAUAACUCAACAACAAAGGAGCCAAAAGACCUUGCCCAAUCUCUUCAAAUUUCCACAUUUCACUAUCUAACAUUCUUUGCCACUCUUUUACUGUAAUUUUAGAGCGCAAGAGAUUCCCUAUUACCUUUGCAGCAAGAGGCAGGCCUUUGCACUUGCGUGCAAUUUUUCGCCCGAUUGGUUCUAAUCUUUCACAAUCCUCGAAACAGCGACCGAAAAAUGCUAACUGCUUGAAAAACAACCAGCAUUCCUCUUCAGCCAGUUGUUCAAUGGAGAUAGUAUCUGACUCUGUUGUUCCCAUCAUACGUGCAAUUGACUCAUUACGUGUGGUAACCAAAAUUUUACUUCCGUGGAGACCAUUCUUUAGACAAAAGAAGAAUGGAUCCCAUUUAUUGGAAUCCCCAUCCCAUACAUCAUCUAAGACAAGAAAAAUUUUUUUUCCUCCAAUUGAUCUAUGGAUAUGGCUCAUAAGAGAUUGGAAUUCGCUUAAACUAGAAGCUUCUUUUGAUUCGCCUAGACCUUCAAUGAUUGCUUUGGCGACCCUAAUCUCCUCAAAAGUGUCUGAUACACACACCCAUAUAACUUUGUCAAAAUUUCUUUUCACCUCAUCAUUAUUAUAGGCUAGUUGUGCAAGAGUGGUUUUACCUAUACCCGCGAACCCAACCAGUGAGAUGAUAUGAGGGUGUUGUUCACUACUUUCACACAACAACUUGGUUAAGAGCUUAUUUUUCUCAUCAUCUCUACCAAAAACCUUCCUCUCAUCAAUCAAGGAGGUGGUUCGCACUCGCUCUGGUUUCUUAACAUUGUUACUCACAUUCUCAACAAAUUUGAAAUUAUCUUUUUGUCUGGCAAUAUCAUCUAGCUUUUCACGGAUUUCUCUAAUCUUGACAGCAAUAUCAUGACGAAGACUGAGUUGUUUGAAACCACCAAAGCAGUUUGAGGCAGCAGGAAAGAAGGAACAUACCUUCGUCAAAAGAGUAACAAAAGCAUUGGCGUCAUCAUCAUCAUCAUCAUCGCCGCCCUCAUCAAGCUGCAAUUUCCGUGUUUCAGUGAUCCACUCAUCCAACACAUCUUCCAUGUCGUAGGAUGCGUCUCUGAGCUCAUCCAGCCAAUCAGUAACAGCUUUGUCGAGCUUCAUUUGCCUCUGCUCUGCAUCUUCCAGCACAGCUUGAAUGGCUCGAAGAUUUUUGGUAAGCUUUUCCACUUCUUUUUCGACACCCGUCACAAGCCUCCACUUUUCUUUCACCUGAUCUUGAGCAAUGGAUUUCAGCUGGUCCAGGAGAGAGGAAACGAUCGCAAGAGCCAUUCUGAUAUUAGAUCAAAUGGUAAAUGCUGCGAUUGCUUUUCUUGCUGCUAAAAUGCUCAGAGGAAAGUAGGUUUUAUGUAUUCUGUGAGAAUGUUCAUUCAAGCAUGUUUGCAUUCUUCUUAUACGUGCAAAUUGAAGGAGUCACCAUCUGGGGCUAGCUUUCUGCUCCACCACGUCAAUAAUUGUACAGCGUCUGCUCUGUUUCUCUGAUUCAUAAUAAUUCAUUAUUAAUUCUGCAGAGUACACAGCAUCAGCACUUGUGAAAUUUCUUACAUUUGUAUUUAGUUACAUGCUGCUCUUGAGAUAAUUAGUAACAAAAUAUUUGUAAACUGCAACAAAAAGCUUUGUGCAAUCUAUCUAUGAAUCUUGAGAAUUCACAUAUAAUACAGUCGAUUUAAAAUAGUCAUAAAUUUUUUUUAUUAUAAAUAUUAGUAUAUUUGUAAUGGUAUAAUAUAUAUCGAUGAAACUAUAUAGAGUAAUUUCGCCUAAUUGUAUAAAUUCAUUACGAAUAUCAUCACAAAUUUGUAUUUGGUCGGGACGGUGCGAGUGAAUUUUUUUAUAAAAUCAUCUCCUGACAAUUUAUUUAUUAUAUUUUUCAAUUUAGCUUUACCGUAUGGAUCCAUUUCUUAUCUAUAUGGCCUUUUAUUAUCAGGUAGGCCAAGGCCAUUUGGUCAUUUGAAAAAGUAUGUGAUUCCGUUUUAGUCUAUUAGGUCACGACAAAAAGAGAAUUGGAAAAUGUAACAUUCUCAAAUUAAUUUGUAGUGGAAAAGAGAAAAAUAAGACAAAAGUUGGAAAAAUCAUGCAGCCGACCCUUUUUUCUAUCUGAUUGCGCAAUAUUAGGUAGGCGAAUGCGACUUCAUCGAUAUCACACAGCAGUGGUUCUGUCAUUAAUUUUUUUCUUUUAUUUAAUUAAGAAAAGGAAGAAAAGAUAGUACAUGUUAUGAUUAUUGUGAAUUUUCCAUCCCUUAUAUAAAUUCUCGAAUUCAUUUAAAUUGUGAGUCAUAGAAGUAUAUUACCUAAACUAUUUUAUCAGGCUAUGUUCGGAUACUAGGAUUAAGUUUGGAAUUGGACUAAUUUUGUGAUUAUAUAUUUAUAUCAUAUUUGGUAAGCUUAAUUGAAUUGGACAAAGGGACUAAAUUUAAGUUUAAUCCUAAAAUUAUGGGAUUAAUAAUCCUAAUUUACACUUUCCUUUAGUUGGGACUUGGGAUAAGAUUAAAGAAAAAAGUUAUCCAUUUAUGAGACUUUAAUUUAUGUCAUUAUUGUUUAUUUAUACUUAAUAUUAAUUAAUUUAUUAAUUAAUUUAUUUUUUAAUUUAUGAUUUACUUAAAAUUUAUUUUUAUUUAUUAUCUAUCAUCUGAUUAAAUUAGAACUUUACUUCUACUAACUCUUGAGAUUAAUUUUUCAUUACUUGCGUAUUUGAUAAUUUGCCAAUAAAAUUAACCAUUUAAUAAUUUCUUGCAUUAUUGAUUGUAUUAAAUUUAAUAAUCACUAAUAUAAUAUUAAAAAUAAUCAUGAAAAUUAAUAAUACCUUCAAUUAAUUGAUUUUAUAUACUUUUUUAAAUAUUUGAUAAGAAGUUGAUAAAAAUUAAUUAAGGAUUUAAAAUUUUAUUCAUUUUUUAUUUAUUUAUUUUAUCAUGAAUACCCAGUAUCUUACAAUAUAAUUAAUUUUCUUAUUCAGACUACUCAGCAUCAGCUCCUGUAAAAUUUCUUACAUUAUAAGCAACAAAAUAUUUAUAAACUACAACAAAAGGCUUAGAUCAAUCCACCGGUGAACCUUCUGAAGUUAUAUAUAAUAUAUUAAUUGUUGAUCUAAGAAUAGUCUCAGUGGAUAGAUUUUUUAUAUUAUAAAUAUCAAUAAAUUUUUUAUCGUUUAAUAGAUAUUGAUGAAAUUAUAUGGAGUAAUUUCGCCCAAUCAUAUUAAUUCAUUAUGAAUUUCAGCACAAAUUUAUAUGUGAUCGAUCUGGACCGUGCAAGUGAAAUUUAUUUACUAUAUUUUUCAACUUUUUGUCAGGUAGGCAAAAGCAAAAGCCAUUAUCUCAUUAAUUGAUUUGGUCAUUUGAGAAUGUAACUCUAUUAUGCCGUGACAAACUCCAAGAUCUAAUUUAGAGAGCGACUCAAAUAAUGGUAAUUAGUAAUUUAUUACAUCUGCAAUUAGAUAUAUACUUUGUUUGAGAAAAAAAUAAAAUCAGUUUUAUAAUGAUUUUAAUUACAAUGAAUAUCAUGCUGUGAUCUAUGACUUGUCUGAUAUUACAAAGAGAAUAUGUGAAAGAUAACUAAGUAAUAAAAUUACAAUAAAUAUCAUCACAAAUGAAAUUUAUUUAUUAUAUUUUUCAAUUUAACGUUAACGUAUGGACCAUUUUUUGGUCUAUAUGGAUUAUGGCCGACAAUUUUUUGGCAAAAUUGUCUCAUUAAUUCAUUUGGUCAUUUGAAAAAGUUGUGGCUCUGUUUUAAUCCAGUGUCAAUAUAUAACUUUAUUAUGUCAUGACAAACUUCAAAAUCUAAUUUAGAGUGUGACUCGAAUAAUUUUAAUUAGUAAUUUAUUAAAUCUACAGUAGGAUACUUUGUUGAGAAAAAAAAAAGAAUAAAAUCUGUCCCAUAAUGAUUUUAAUAAAUAUCAUACUAUUGUCUACGGACUUACCUCAUAUUACAAAGAAUUAAAAUAUGCGAAAGAUAACUAAGGAAUAAAAUUUUUCCACAAUGAUUUAUAAAAUUGCUUUUGAAGAACGGUUAUGAUAUUAUAUUAAAUUACUAAGAAUUUAGUUAACCUCUCAAGAAGUCUAUUUGGUUGACUUCUCGAGUUUAAAAUUCGAAUGUCAAAAAAGAUAAAAGGUUAAAAAAAUAUUUUAAAUAUUCUCCACCCUUUUACUAUUUUAAUAUACAAAAAGAAGAAUUACUUGUUUUUAACAAUAGCAACCGGGGGCAUCAUAUAUCUGAUGGAUUUUUUUAAGGAACAAAACUUAUUAUAUCUCCUAUCAAAAAUGUCAUUUUUGUUAGUAAAAGGAUAUCUAUAUCUCCAAAUUUUGGAAAAAUGGUUACCAACGCUUCCAAGUCCUAAAUUUGAAAAAAGAGACACUAAAACUCAUUUUUUACUACAAUACCCUUUACUUUUAUUAUCCCAAAAGUUAACUUUAAUUUUUUUUAUAAUAAAUAGAAAUAUAAUAUUAAAAUAAAUGUAUUAAAAUUUAAAUUAUUAUGAAAAAUAAUAAUUUUAAUAUUAUUAGUAUGUGAGACUUUUUUAAUUGUAAAAUGUAUUUAAUGCAAAUAUUUAUUUAAAAUCUCUACAAUAAAUACAAAUAUAUUAUUAAAAUAAAUAUAAUAAUUUACAUAUUUAAAUUUAUUUUAAUAUUAAAGUAUUUUAAUAUUAUUAAUCUACUAUAUAGAUUACAUUAUUUAUAUAAUAUUUGUGUUUACUAAAAAUUUGCAAGUUAAAUUUUUCGGGAUACUAAAGGUAAAGAGUAUUAUGGUCAAAAGAGAGUCUUGAUGUCAUUUUUAGAAAACUUGGGGUGUUGGUGACUAUUUCUCCAAACCAUGGGGAUAUAGAUAUCCUUUUCUCUUUUUUAUUUUAAACAAGUGGUGACUAAAGAUUAAACUGUCAUAUAUUCACAAGAUAUUCACCACAAAAUUUGUAGGAAAUUUCUUCUUCCCUAAGCGGAAAAUACAAAACAAAAACAUAAUUGGCAAUUUCACUAGCAAAACUAAUAAUAUUUUGUUCCAUAUCCAGGGGUAGAGCUCGGGGUAAAUCUUCAUGAGGCCCAAAUUCAAAUUUCAAGUGUUAGCUGGGAAUUAAUUUUAGACAAUUUUAUUUAUUUAUUUAUUUAUAGCUAGUAUGUAAUUGUUAGGUAUUUCAAAAUUUGAGAAUUUUGUGAUUCUGUGAGAAUGUUGAUUCAAGCAUGUUUGCAUUCUUCUUAUACGUACCAUAGGAGAUAUUUAGUUUUUACCCUCAAGUCAAUGUCAAUGUGAACGUUGUUUUGUGCUGCAAAUUAAAGGAGUCCCCACAGGAGUCACCGAUUUGCUUUGAGAAUUUUGAGAAUUAUGUUUUGCGAGUGAAAUUGCCAUUUUGUCAUAAUGGAAUUUUGCUUUCUGAUCAAUAAUUGAGAAUUUUGCUUGUAGCUACAGGCUGCAGCGAUUUUGAUUUGACGGCUUUGAUUCAUAAUUGAAGUUACUGUUGCAAGUAAAAACUAAAAAAAUUAACAAAAUAAAAAUCAAAGACUUAGGUCCAUGUUUUAUCAAAAUUUUAAUAAAAGGCUAUUUGUCAUUUUGUCAUAAUGGAAAAAUAAUUAACAAAAUAAAAAAAUCGAAUUUACUUGAUUUUAUUUUACAAAAUAUAAAUUAAAUUUCUAUUAUAUGUAUAAAGUUUAUACAUCAAGUGGUUAGGAGUCAAAUCAAUCUUUUUAUACCUAAUUUUUAAUAUUUUACUUCGAAACCUCAAAAAUUUUUAAAGUUUGUUGGGUCACAAUCCCCGCUAGGAGUGGGCAAAUUUGUGUUCAUAUCAACUUGAAUAGGUUUUGGGUUGAUUAGGCUAGAAUUGGAUCAGAUCAAAAAGUAUGAGAGAAAUUAAUUGAGCCUCUCCCAAGAAAAAUACAUACAGAUGAUUAAUAUAUAACCAUUAAAUAAUAAAUAUGUUAGACUUACAUUUAUUUUUUAGCCCUAAAAGUAUGAAAAAAUUAAUACUUUCCGAAUUUAUUUUUUGUACCGUAAAGAAUCAAAUUACUCACAAAAUUAUUUUUAACUUUCAUCAUGCAAACAAACAAAUCAUCAUCAAUUUCAAUAGAAAAAAGUAUUCUAGGUAGAAAUGAUUUCUGUAGCAGAAUAUGAUGUAUUUGGGACUUCCAACUCUAUUAGCUAGGUUAAUAACAUGUUAAUUGUCACAUCAUUAAUUUUAGAUUAUAAAUUUUAUAUUCAAACUUUGUAUGACUGCUCCUUUUUCAAUGAUCUAACUAAUUGAUCUUGUUUCAAAAGAAACAAAAAAUAAAAAUAAAAUUAAGUAAUGCCAUGAUCUAAUUGGUCUUGUUAUUGACAUGUACUAAUGCAUUCUAUUUUUCUAAACUUUGUACAUUUUAUUGAUAUGUUUCUCUUGAGAGAUAAGAAUCAUUAUGUGGCAAAAUUUUAUUAAAGCUGGGAUUAUUUAUGUUCUAAUACUUUGAACAUUAACUUUUAUUCUACUCUUUAGAAUACCUAAAUAAUCCUUACCUAAACAUCUUUCAUAAAUGUUUUUUGCUGGGGCUGCAAAAAUUCAUAAUCUAAUAUUAGUUGAUGUGGCUUUUGUUCCAUCACAUUAAUGUAGAUAAUAAUAGUUAAUUCAUUAACAAAAUGAAAAAUGUUAGUUUACAAAAUACAAAUCCGAAUUUUUUGUGUGUGAGAGGGAAUUUAAAAGGGAGAGAUUAAACAAAUGUGGUGACAAAUUACACGUAUUACCAAAAUUGAAAAGACAAAGUUUAGGCAACUGGAAACAUCUCUGUCAAUGGCAAUGAACCCAUUACCUCCAUUUAUAAUUAACCAAAAUCAAAUAAAUUAAAAAAGAAAACACAAAACAAGGAUAACUACUAGUUGUUUUGAUCAUCCCUGCUUCUUUUCUUAGCAUAGCUCUUGUAAUGAAAAUUAACAAAAAGGGCCAAAAGGGAAGCAUUAAACACAGUAUUGAAGCACCAACCCCAAAACCCAGGGAAACCAAAUCCCGUAAAAUGAUCAUACAGCAUCAAAAUGAAAAAUGUUAUGGAUGGCUGUGAUGGGUCUGAGGAUGUGGGGUCCAAUGAGAGGUGAUGAUGAUGGUGAUGUUGAUGUUGAUGUGUGGUAGAGGAUGGAUGUGAGGGAGAGGUAAGUAAUGAUGGAGUGAAUGAGGAUGUGUGGGAAGGAAGCUAGGGUUUGGUCUUGAGUCCAUGUGAAGUUGAGGACUUGUGGGUGGCUUACAAGCAAUAUUGGAGUGUUAAGCUGACUGAAUUUGAAGCCAUGGCUGGUUUUGGGGGAAGAUUGAUUUGGGAGAGAUGAUGCUCAGAGGAAUGGGGGAGUUUAGAAAGUUUGGGAUAAUGUGAGGGGUGUUUUAGGCAUAUUUUUUCGUCUUAGCUUAAAUUUUUGUUAAAAAAAUGAUAAAUUCUUUUCUCAUAUCAAUUUAAAACUCCGAGUAUGUUUCCAAUUCUUCUUCUAUUUUUGGAUUUUGGAUCAUAAUUUUUGAAUCCAAUAACGGCCUCUUUAAUUAUAAAAUAUGGUAAAAGGGGAUGGGAUAUAGUGUCUUAGGCCUUUGUUUCAACGGCAUCUUUGGACGCGGGUUUCUUUUUUUUCUUUUUUUUUUUGGUUAUUUCUUCUCAAACUUGUGCAGAUUACAUGCACUCAACGUCGAACCCUUUUGUAUGGUAAAGUACAUCGAGUAAGGAUUUCUAUAAUCAAGCUAGAAAGUACAAUUAAAAUUAGAUAUGAGUGCCGCGGAGCAUAGUUUUAAAGUUACAAUAUUAAAGUAUUUAAUAAAUAUUUAUUAUUGUGACUUAAAAAUUAAGUUGGGAGUAUAAAAAAAUCAAUAAUACAUUUAUUAAUUUUGUAGGAAAUUUCUUCUUCCCUAAGCGGAAAAUACAAAACAAAAACAUAAUUGGCAAUUUCACUAGCAAAACUAAUAAUAUUUUGUUCCAUAUCCAGGGGUAGAGCUCGGGGUAAAUCUUCAUGAGGCCCAAAUUCAAAUUUCAAGUGUUAGCUGGGAAUUAAUUUUAGACAAUUUUUUUAUUUAUUUAUAGCUAGUAUGUAAUUGUUAGGUAUUUCAAAAUUUGAGAAUUUUGUGAUUCUGUGAGAAUGUUGAUUCAAGCAUGUUUGCAUUCUUCUUAUACUAAUAGGAGAUAUUUAAUUUUUACCCUCAAGUCAAUGUCAAUGUGAACGUUCUUUUGUGCUGGAAAUUAAAGGAGUCCCCACAGGAGUCACCGUCUGGGGCUAGCUUUCUGAUCAAUAAUUGAGAAUUUUGCUUGUAGCUACAGGCUGCAGCGAUUUUGAUUUGGCGACUUUGAUUCAUAAUUGAAGUUACUGUUGCAAGUAAAAACUAAAAAAAAUUAACAAAAUAAAAAUCAAAGACUUAGGCCCAUGUUCUAUCGAAAUUUUAAUAAAAGGCUAUUUGUCAUUUUGUCAUAAUGAAAAAAUAAUUAAAAAAAAAUCGAAUUUACUUGAUUUUAUUUUACAAAGUAUAAAUUAAAAUUCUAUUAUAUGUAUAAAGUUUAUACAUCAAGUGUUUAGGGGUCAAAUCAAUCUUUUUAUACCUAAUUUUUAAUAUUUUACUUCGAAACCUCAAAAUUUUUCAAAGUUUGUAGGGUCACAAUCUCCGGAGUGGGCAAAUUUGUGUUCAUAUCAACUUGAAUGGGUUUCGGGUUGAUUAAACUAGAAUUGGAUCAGAUCAAAAAGUAUGAGAGAAAUUAAUUAAGCUUCUCCCAAAAAAAAUACAUUUAGAUGAUUGAUAUAUAACCAUUAAAUAAUAAAUAUAUUAGACAUACUUUUAUUUUUUAGCCCAAAAAGUAUGAGAGAAAUUAAUACUUUCUGAAUUUAUUUUUUGUACCUUAAAGAAUCAAAUUACUCACAAAAUUAUUUUUAACUUUCAUGAUGCAAACAAACAAAUCAUCAUUAAUUUCUAUAGAAAAAAGUAUUCUAGGUAGAAAUGAUUUCUGUAGCAGAAUAUGAUGUAUUUGGGACUUCCAACUCUAUUAGCUAGGUUAAUAACAUGUUAAUUGUCACAUCAUUAGUUUUAGAUUAUAAAUUUUAUAUUCAAACUUUGUAUGACUGCUCCUUUUUCAAUGAUCUAACUAAUUGAUCUUGUUUCAAAAGAAACAAAAAAUAAAAAUAAAAUUAAGUAAUGCCAUGAUCUAAUUGGUCUUGUUAUUGACAUGUACUAAUGCAUUCUAUAUUUCUAAACUUUGUACAUUUUAUUGAUAUGUUUCUCUUGAGAGAUAAGAAUCAUUAUGUGGCAAAAUUUUAUUAAAGCUGGGAUUAUUUAUGUUCUAAUACUUUGAACAUUAAUUUUUAUUCUACUCUUUAGAAUACCUAAAUAAUCCUUACCUAAACAUCUUUCAUAAAUGUUUUUUGCUGGGGCUGCUAAAAUUCAUAAUCGAAUUCUAGUUGAUGUGGCUUGUGUUCCAUCACAUUAAUGUAGAUAAUAAUAGUUAAUUCAAUUAUUUACUUCUAUGCUCUUGUAAUGAAAAUUAACAAAAAGGGCCAAAAGGGAGGCAUUAAUCACAGCAUUGAAGCACCAACCCCAAAUCCCAGGGAAACCAAAUCCCGUGAAAUGAUAAUUCAGUAUCAGAACCAAAACAGCAAAACUAAACACAAACUAAACAAUCUGACAAUCAGUGACCAAUCUGCCGCAACCCCAGAACACACAAUAGAUAGUACCCGUACAUGAUCACAUGCACACUUGCAUUGGUAACAAGCGCAAUUGGAAGCAAAGACCGCUUCGUCUGUAACCAAAUGUAGCACAUUACAACGACGGUUGCAUGGUGGUAGACGUGGAGGAACGUGAGCCGUUGGAUGGAGUUUGACAAAAUGAUCAAAAGGGUGUCUGGGAAUUCGAGUAUUUUUUAGAGUUAAAAAUGUAAGCGUAGAAGCAGAGGGGGCCGUGGGAGAAAUGGUAGGGGGGAAACAGGGGAAGUAGAGGAGGUGAGGUGAGUGGAGGAUGAUCGAGAGGGUGCAACCAGCGGCCAUGAUGAGGGAGAAGAGGAGGAGGGUGAGGUUAUGGAUGGCUGUGAUGGAUCUGAGAAUGUGGGGUCCAAUGAGAGGUGAUGAUGAUGGUGAUGUUGAUGUUGAUGUUGAUGUUGAUGUGUGGCAGAGGAUGGAUGUGAGGGAGAGGUAAGUAACGAUGGAGAUAAUGAGGAUGUGUGGGAAGGAAGCUAGGGCUUGGUUUUGAGUCCAUGUGAAGUUGAGGGUUUGUGGGUGGCUUACAAGCAACAUUGGAGUGUUUAGCUGAUUGAAUUUGAAGCCAUGGCUGGUUCUGGGGGAAGAAAGAUUUGGGAGAGAUGAUGCUCAAGAGGAAUGGGGGAGUUUAGAAAGUUUGGGAUCAUGAGAAGGGUGUUUUGGGCAUUAUUUUUGUCUUAGCUUAAAUUUUUGUUAAGAAAAUAAUAAACUCUUUUCUCGUAUCAAUUUAAAACUCCGAAUAUGUUUCCAAUUCUUCUUCUAUUUUUGGAUUUUGGAUCAUAAUUUUUCAAUUCAAUAACGGCCUUUUUAAUUAUAAAAUAUGGUAAAAGGGGAUGGGAUAUAGUGUCUAGGCCUUUGUUUCAACGGCAUCUUUGGACGCGGGUUUCUUUUUUUUUUGGUUAUUUCUUCUCAAACUUGUGCAGAUUACAUGCACUCAACGUGGAACCCUUUUGAAUGGAAGUUACUGUUUUGCUGGAAUCGGGACCAAUUUUUUGACAAAAAUUUCGUUAUAAAAUAUGCAAUUAAAGUCGAGUAAGAUUAAGUAAAGUAACAUCUUGUAUGGUAAAGUACAUCGAGUAAGGAUUUCUAUAAUCGAGCUAGAAAGUACAAUUAAAAUUAGAUAAGAGUGCCGCGGAGCAUAGUUUUAAAGUUACAGUAUCAAAGUAUUUAAUAAAUAUUAUUAUUAUGACUUAAAAAUUAAGUUGGGGGAUAAAAAAAUCAAUAAUACAUUUAUUAAUUUUGUUAAAAUUAUUAUUUAAAAAUCAUAUAUACAACACAAGAUCAACAUUUAUAUUAUAGUUUCAGUUCCUUUUUCACAAUAACUAUAACUACAACACGGUAGUACUAAAUAGGAAGUCGAGUAUGAUCAAGUAAUUACAUAUUAUGGUUUUUUGGUAUUACAUGAUUCUUCAAACUGAAAUUUGCGAUCAAAAUUGUAUCAAAGAAAUCACAAAGACACUCUGUUUGACAAAUCUGCAGUAGAAUUUGCACAAUUUAAGUGGGUUGCAGAGAGUGAAUAAGAUUCCGAAGCAACAGGCAAUUAUUGUUAUUAAGAAAACAAUUCAUCGCUAGAACAAAAUUAACUUUUCUAACUUACUAGAAUUUAACCGGAGAAAAAUUGGAAUAUACGACGUUGUAACUUGUAUCACAUAUAGUAUUUAGACAUCAAGAAAAGAAUCCCUCUAUCAGUGAACUAUACUUGCCAGGAAACACGGUGAAAUACCACCACCUCCCUACUAGAUUAAUGCAGCAAAAUACUCCAAGAAAUUCACCCAGUCACAUUCUUCCGGACUAUCCUCUUUCUUCGCACUUCAGGAGCUCUUGUUUCCCCUUACAGAGUCGGCAUUCCCUUGUUUGAUGCCAAGGAGCCCAAGCCCAGAGACAAUGGCAUUCUUUGAUAUCAACCACCUUGGGGACUUUUGAGUUGAGCCAUUGACAUCCUGAGAUGGCCUGUUGUAAGCCUUCUUCAAAAGGUCAUCUGACUGAAGUAGCGGAUCCGCUUCCACUACUUGCCAAGCAAGCCUUGAUCUUUCUCCUAAUUGGACAUUCAAAACCCUGCAUGGAAUCCAUUUGAGAAGUUGAACAAUAGACAAAGUCCAACACAUAUAGGCAGUAAAGAAGAAUUUGGACAGCAAUUACUGAUUGUUUACGCACAGGGCUGAACAAAUGGGUAUAUUAAGGCACUUAAAAGUUGGAACCAUAUUCACCACUUGUGUUUCCUUAGGGAACUACCUCAGAGUUCAGUUAAUUUAAAACUAUUCUUACGUAUUUAACUACAAAACUAGAGAAAUCGUACUUCUGUAGCGGAGUCUCACUAUUGUUAAGGAUCUAGACUUGGAAAGUAUGCAAGUUGAUUAGGUAAAGAAAAAUUGAAAUAAUACUUGGUCAUAGAUCAACACACUUCAAUAGAAACCACACUAACAUCAUAUCAGACAAAUAAACAGAUUCCCCCAGUCAAAGUUUAACAAACAAAACAUUAAAACAAGGAUAAGAACAGUGCUACUCCAAUAACAUCAAUAUGGUUGACGACCGCUCUAUCAAAUCCAUUGGAAAUUGUAUACUUAUAAUUUUUUUUUUCAAACUUUGUCUAAAAUAAAUGAAUGAGAUAGGAUAAAUUCGAAUAAAUUAAUCUGCAUAAUGACACAAGAAACAAAUGUAAAUUGACCACAAGUCCACAAGUAGAAAUAUACUUUUGUUAUAUUUAGAGCAUCUUCCAAUUUCUUUCCCUUGAGCUCUGUUUCUUCGAGUGCUCAAAAGCAAGACACAGGCCUCAAGAUAUAAUUAUCAUCAUCAAUCUUUUGCAGCCACAUGCAGUACUUGGAAAAUGUUUACGGCCCUAAAUAACUGGAAAAUCAGAAAACAUUAAGAACAAGAGACUAAUCAUUUUAAUCGCAACGAAACAUGCACACUAUGAAAAUAUAAAAUUGAAUUACUUCGAAUGGAUGUGCCUCUUAACAGGAAUUGCACAAGCUAAUGAGCAAGUGAGCCUUCGAAUGAAAAUCUAAAUCCUUGCAGCCUGCGUCAUGCAGCUUCUCCCAAUGAGUAAGUGAGCCUUGAUCAGUUAUCACUCAGCUCAAACUAAAAUGAAAUUACUGUGGACAUGUGAAUUAAAAAUAGAUAUAAUAGCAGUUUUCUCAAAGCAAAGUCAAGAUAAGCGAUUAACUCUCCUCCGUAAUUACAUUAAAAAUAACAAACAAUGAAAAACAGAGCUAGAGAAGAACUUACCUGUGCGUUGAGACCAUGUGGGGAAUGUAAGAUAUCUUCUUAGAUUUGGUUUGAGAAACCCUGCCAAUUAAAAUUUCGGUCCCCAUGUAGCAGAAUUUCUUAUUUUUCCUUUGUACACAAAUGCAGACACUUAAGCAAAUUAAGAUUUCUUACCUAAAGCAAAUUAGGAUUUCUUUUGACCCUGCAAGUUACAAUUUCAGUCCCCAUGUAAUAGGAAAAUUUUGUGCACAUACUUAUAGCAAAUUAAUAUUUCAUACCUCAUGAUAUUUAUCAUAACCAUCAAUCUUUAGAAACCACAUGCAGACUUGUUAAGCUGUUUAUGGCCCAAAAUAACAGGAAAAUUAGAACAGAUUUUUAAGAAUGAGCGACUAAAUAUUUCAAUGGCAACUAAAAUUACACAUCUUGGAAAUCUAAAACUCAAGUACUCAGAAUGAAUGUGCCUCUUCACAGAAAUUAAACAAGCUGGGAACUUUAGUGCAAAUGCUUUUUCAUAAUCUUCAAUUGCAUAAGUCAGUUAGAAUCAAUCUUUCUUAAUCUUUCAAUUCACAGAUGAGAGCCUGAUAACACAAGGAAACACUGUAAGUGAAUUGGCAACUGUGACAAAUUUUGGGUAAAAAUCAUCAACUGUAGUUAUUCGCAUAACAUACAGUGUCAACACCAAAUUCCUUCCUGAUCCGUGGAAGCAUUUCAGCCCACGGACGGCUUGCUUUGUCAAUAUAUAUCAAGCUUUGUAGCUUUUAAGAAACUGAGAGGUGAAAGACCUGGAAUUUUCGAUAGCAACUCAGGAUUCUAUAUUUAAAUUAUGAUGUUCGAUAACUUACUGAUACAAAAGACAUUGUCCCAAGCACUUUUUUACAGGAGCUAAGAUCAAGCCAGUCACUUCCAUUUGUUGCAGUUUUAACGCAGAAAGAAAAAGGGAGAAAAAAAUCUGCAAGAUACCGCAUGUUCGCGGAAGCAGAGUUGAAUAAUUACAAAAUUACAUUCUUGAUUGCACAGAAAUGAUAUAUAGCAAAACAAGCAUAAGGAAAUAACAAUAUAAUUUUACAUUGUUCAGCUUUUGGUCUACGUCACAGUCAAAGACGUGAAGAGAAUUUUACUAAGAAAUAAGAGUGUACUAAUGUCAAAGAAAAACAUUCACUAAUCGCUGAUAUAUGCUUAAUUUCUCACUCACUCCAAGAAGUUUCAUUCUCCCAUAAUUCACUCAAAUGAAACUUUCAUUGGAAGGUCCUAUUAUUAAGGCUUUAGCAUCACUUCAUAUGCUCAACAAUUCAAAUUUGAGGAUGUUAUUUCACAAAAUGGAGGGCUCUAUUUGGCUUGUGAACAAUCUUCCUCACCAUCACCAUCAUUGCCGUACCAGUAGCACUGAACAAUCCUCAUUCUGACAUUUGCCCCAAUUAUCUGAUUACACAAGAAUCCAAAACAACUGUUAGAAAUUUUAAUCUUUAUAUAUAGCCAAAAUGGUGAAUAAGAUGAUGUACUUGAUAAUAAAAACCUGAUUUAAUAAAUAAUUAAGGGACCGAUAACAAGCACAGAAUCUCAGCGUGUGGGGAAAGCCUUGACAACAGAAGAUGGUGCUUUCAUUCAAGCAAUGAUAACUUUCCAAUUUCAUAAGGUAGCUUAAUGCCCUUUUAAGAAUAUCUGCACCAGCCUGACAAUUAUUCAUGGA